Molecule: ribosomal RNA, 2335 nt
Filed under: Anchistioides antiguensis
Lineage: Eukaryota; Metazoa; Arthropoda; Malacostraca; Decapoda; Anchistioididae
Description: eukaryotic LSU rRNA
Rfam family: Eukaryotic large subunit ribosomal RNA
Source: RNAcentral
ACUGAAAGGGGACCAGCCCAGCGCAUAACCUCGCGGUCCGUAGCCGGCCGUCGAGGGGUGUUGCGUUUCGGUGGAUCCGUACCGCUCGAGCUGCUCACCGCCUAAGUCAUUGCUUGAAUGCAGCCCCAAGGAGGGUGGUAGGCCCGUGUGGCGGCGCCUGUAAAAAGGUCCGAGGCAGCUUGGGCGGAGGGGUCUUUACCGUAGAGUCGGGUUGCUUAGUACUGCAGCCCUAAGUAGGUGGUAAACUCCAUCUAAGGCUAAAUACUACCACGAGUCCGAUAUUUGACAAGUACCGUGAGGGAAAGCUGAAAAGGACUCUGAAGAGAGAGUUCAACAGGACGUGAAACCAUUAGAAGCUCAAACGGGUGGAACCGUGAAGGUCGAAAGAGGGGAUUCAGCCGGCCGGUCUUCGGCGGUGGGAGCGGUACAAGUUGCGUUGCAGAUGAGAGGACCCGGCGUGAACGUGAGUUGCCGUGGCCCCGCGCCCACUGUCCGGAGCCCUGCUGGCUUAGUUCUCCCUCGAGUAGAGGUCGUCGCGACCCGCUGGGCGGGCCCCGAGGGCCGCGCCGGACUGGUAGCCUGCACUUCGGUGAAGGUGAUGACCGGCUGCGGUGCUGACUGGGCUUGCCCGGCGGUCACUGCAAGGAGGCCGCUGUGAGCGGCCUCUCGCGACGUGACAGGGAUUGGUAAUCCACCCGACCCGUCUUGAAACACGGACCAAGGAGUCCAACAUGUGCGCGAGUCUAAGGGUGUACUAAACCCGGAGGCGAAAUGAAAGUGAGCCCCUUGCGGGCAGGCCGAUCCCCUGCUUGCGCCGGCCUGGCGGCCGUGCGGCGUGAGUUGAUUUCCGCUGCGCGUGCCGUCGGUGCCGGCGUGGGUGGCCGCUUGGUUUUUCCUCGCGGAGAUGGGGCGCAGGCCGAGGACUUGCCAUUGUGCGGCGCGGGGAAACGGGGUGCUAUUAUGCGCCCUUAUCCCGAAGUCCGUCGGCAAGUACCUGAGAGCGCAGCCGUUGGGACCCGAAAGAUGGUGAACUAUGCCUGGCGAGGACGAAGCCAGAGGAAACUCUGGUGGAGGUCCGAAGCAGUUCUGACGUGCAAAUCGAUUGUCAGAGCUGGGUAUAGGGGCGAAAGACUAAUCGAACCAUCUAGUAGCUGGUUCCCUCCGAAGUUUCCCUCAGGAUAGCUGGCAUUCAGCAGGAUGAGUUUCAUCCGGUAAAGCGAAUGAUUAGAGGCCUUGGUGGUGCAAUGCCGUCAACCUAUUCUCAAACUUUAAAUGGGUGAGACGUGGAGCUUGCUUGAAACGUGAAGCUCUAUGAUGCAAGAAUCAGAAUGCCUAGUGGGCCACUUUUGGUAAGCAGAACUGGCGCUGUGGAUGAACCAAACGUACGAGUUAAGGGGCCUAAACGAAUGCUAAUGUAGACACUACGAAAAGGUGUUGGUUGCUAUAGACAGCAGGGCGGUGGCCAUGGAAGUUGGAAUCCGCUAAGGAGUGUGUAACAACUCACCUGCCGAAGCAACUAGCCCUUAAAAUGGUAUGGCGCUCAAGCAUUCUCCCGAUACUCGGCCGCCGGGGCAUUGGUCUGGCCCCUUGUGGGCCAUCGAAGCCCCGGCGAGUAGGAGGGUCGCAGCGGUGAGCGUCGAAGGGACUCGGCGUGAGCCGGCCUGGAGCCGCCGCUGGUGCAGAUCUUGGUGGUAGUAGCAAAUAAUCAAGAGAGAGCCUCGUUGGCUGAUGUGGAGAAGGGUUCCAUGUCAACAUCAGUUGAACAUGGGUGAGUCAGGCCUAAGCCCAAGGAUAAAUUUCCUGCUUCCCACGUGUUCCCAGGCCUCCAAACGGACGGCUAGAGACGACGUCCUGGAGGGCCCUUAGCCCAAUCGCGAGAUGGAGAGAUCUAGCGGUGGUCGGUUUGGCGAGUGGUCGUAGAGCUGGCCGACGGUGGUCGUAUCACAAGCGGCAGCGGGUGAACAUGCUGACCCUUCGGGUGUUGCUGUGGCUGGCCAGAGAGAAAUGGCUGGCCCGGUCCCCGUUUGGUCGCCGCCCGCUGCUGCGUCGGCCUCCGUGGUGCCGCUCUGCUGCUCUGCGGCCGCCGACGCCGCUUCCUCGCCUGGGCGGGGCCGACAGAAUGCCAAAGCUGGAAGGGAUGCAGUGGCGAAAGGGAAUACGGUAAUGAUUCCGUGACCUGUGUUCGGACGGGCCCGGUCUCUGCCUUCGCGGUUGAGGCCGGGUCAAGUGUGUGACGAUUCCUGGCAACGGGAUCUGGCUUGUGUCCACUGGCGUCUGGUCCGGGGGAGAGUUUUCUUUUCUGUUUUAGGCCCCGUGAUCCCCGGAAAUCCUAUGA